GGCCCCUUAGUUCAAUGGAUAGAAUGCUGGAUUCCGGUUCCAGUGAUAUGAGUUCGAAUCUCGUAGGGGUCA
Molecule: transfer RNA, 72 nt
Filed under: Plebeiibacterium marinum
Lineage: Bacteria; Pseudomonadati; Bacteroidota; Bacteroidia; Marinilabiliales; Marinilabiliaceae
Description: tRNA-Arg
Rfam family: tRNA
About the family: Transfer RNA (tRNA) molecules are approximately 80 nucleotides in length.
Source: RNAcentral